Molecule: unclassified non-coding RNA, 515 nt
Filed under: Hevea brasiliensis (rubber tree)
Lineage: Eukaryota; Viridiplantae; Streptophyta; Magnoliopsida; Malpighiales; Euphorbiaceae
Source: RNAcentral
GUUGGCCUGAUGGCAGAGAAGAAAAUAUCAAAGAAUUAUCAUCAGGCAUGGCCCUUGAGGUAGAACUAGAAAAUGACAUUGCAUGUCGUCUUGGGGACACUGGAUUAGAAGUUCUUGUUGGAGACACUGAAGAUGAAAAACUAGGAGGAGAACCUGGAGCAGUAAGAUGGGGAGUGCUUGUUUGAGAUGCUAGGAGAAUACCGUGUGAUAUGCCAGGUCUCGCCACAUCUGUUUCACGAUCCUCUGCAAAUGAGUUUCCCACAUCUGAGAAAUGGCUAUGCAUAGAAGAUGAUCUUGAAGGUGUCAAGGUGACAUCAUCUUCACUUGGCGUUGGCUUGGCAAUGAUAUGCAGAACUCCUGAAGAAUUUUGUUCAUCCUCUUGAAGUGAUUGCAUGAGAGUCUUCCUGAACACCUCCAACUUGGAAACACCUCUUUGGAGCUUCUUUAGAGUGUUAGAUAGUGAAGCGUUCUCUUUCAACAAGUUCUCCUUUUCGAGAGCAGUCAGGGUAAGUUUA